RNAcentral lists this ribosomal RNA (716 nucleotides) under bacterium enrichment culture clone NCP4-26. Its description in RNAcentral is "bacterial SSU rRNA". It matches the Rfam family "Bacterial small subunit ribosomal RNA", at positions 137 to 882 of the family's 1533-position model. The record is from RNAcentral.
UGAGGGAUAACUGCCUGAAAAGGUAGCUAAUACCGCAUAUGAUCUUCGGAUUAAAGCUUUUUAGCGCUUUGGGAGGAGCCCGCGUCGGAUUAGACUGUUGGUGAGGUAAAGGCUCACCAAGUCGACGAUCCGUAGCUGGUCUGAGAGGAUGAUCAGCCAGACUGGGACUGAGACACGGCCCAGACUCCUACGGGAGGCAGCAGUAAGGAAUCUUCCACAAUGGGCGAAAGCCUGAUGGAGCAACGCCGCGUGCAGGAUGAAGGCCUUCGGGUUGUAAACUGCUUUUAUAAGUGAGGAAUAUGACGGUAACUUAUGAAUAAGGAUCGGCUAACUACGUGCCAGCAGCCGCGGUCAUACGUAGGAUCCGAGCGUUAUCCGGAGUGACUGGGCGUAAAGAGUUGCGUAGGCGGUCUACAAAGUGAAUAGUGAAACCUGGUGGCUCAACCACACAGACUAUUAUUCAAACUCGUAGACUCGAGAAUGGUAGAGGUCACUGGAAUUUCUUGUGUAGGAGUGAAAUCCGUAGAUAUAAGAAGGAACACCAAUGGCGUAGGCAGGUGACUGGACCAUUUCUGACGCUAAGGCACGAAAGCGUGGGGAGCGAACCGGAUUAGAUACCCGGGUAGUCCACGCCGUAAACGAUGGAUACUAGCUGUAGGGGGUAUCGACCCCUUCUGUAGCGAAGCUAACGCGUUAAGUAUCCCGCCUGUGGAGUA